GAUGAACGCUGGCGGCGUGCUUAACACAUGCAAGUCGAACGAUGAAGCCCAGCUUGCUGGGUGGAUUAGUGGCGAACGGGUGAGUAACACGUGAGUAACCUGCCCUUGACUCUGGGAUAAGCCUGGGAAACUGGGUCUAAUACUGGAUAUGACUUCUCAUCGCAUGGUGGGGGGUGGAAAGAUUUAUUGGUCUUGGAUGGACUCGCGGCCUAUCAGCUUGUUGGUGAGGUAAUGGCUCACCAAGGCGACGACGGGUAGCCGGCCUGAGAGGGUGACCGGCCACACUGGGACUGAGACACGGCCCAGACUCCUACGGGAGGCGGCAGUGGGGAAUAUUGCACAAUGGGCGCAAGCCUGAUGCAGCGACGCCGCGUGAGGGAUGACGGCCUUCGGGUUGUAAACCUCUUUCAGUAGGGAAGAAGCGAGAGUGACGGUACCUGCAGAAGAAGCGCCGGCUAACUACGUG
RNAcentral lists this ribosomal RNA (466 nucleotides) under uncultured bacterium. Its description in RNAcentral is "partial 16S ribosomal RNA". It matches the Rfam family "Bacterial small subunit ribosomal RNA", at positions 28 to 507 of the family's 1533-position model. The record is from RNAcentral.